UUGAACGCUAGCGGGAUGCUUUACACAUGCAAGUCGCACGGCAGCGCGGACUUCGGUCUGGCGGCGAGUGGCGAACGGGUGAGUAAUGUAUCGGAACGUGCCCAGUAGCGGGGGAUAACUACGCGAAAGCGUAGCUAAUACCGCAUACGCCCUACGGGGGAAAGCAGGGGAUCGUAAGACCUUGCACUAUUGGAGCGGCCGAUAUCGGAUUAGCUAGUUGGUGAGGUAACGGCUCACCAAGGCGACGAUCCGUAGCUGGUUUGAGAGGACGACCAGCCACACUGGGACUGAGACACGGCCCAGACUCCUACGGGAGGCAGCAGUGGGGAAUUUUGGACAAUGGGGGCAACCCUGAUCCAGCCAUCCCGCGUGUGCGAUGAAGGCCUUCGGGUUGUAAAGCACUUUUGGCAGGAAAGAAACGUCGCGGGCUAAUACCCCGUGGAACUGACGGUACCUGCAGAAUAAGCACCGGCUAACUACGUG
RNAcentral lists this ribosomal RNA (483 nucleotides) under uncultured bacterium. Its description in RNAcentral is "partial 16S ribosomal RNA". It matches the Rfam family "Bacterial small subunit ribosomal RNA", at positions 30 to 507 of the family's 1533-position model. The record is from RNAcentral.